Molecule: ribosomal RNA, 484 nt
Filed under: uncultured bacterium
Lineage: Bacteria
Description: partial 16S ribosomal RNA
Rfam family: Bacterial small subunit ribosomal RNA
Source: RNAcentral
AUUGAACGCUGGCGGCAGGCCUAACACAUGCAAGUCGAGCGGAUGAAGGGAGCUUGCUCCUGGAUUCAGCGGCGGACGGGUGAGUAAUGCCUAGGACUCUGCCUUGUAGUGGGGGAUAACGUCCGGAAACGGGCGCUAAUACCGCAUACGUCCUGAGGGAGAAAGUGGGGGUUCUUCGGACCUCACGCUAUCAGAUGAGCCUAGGUCAGAUUAGCUAGUUGGUGGGGUAAAGGCCUACCAAGGCGACGAUCCGUAACUGGUCUGAGAGGAUGAACAGUCACACUGGAGCUGAAACACAGUCCAGACUCCUACGGGAGGCACAAGUGGCGAAUGUUGGACAGUGGGGGAAAGCCCGAUCCAGCCAUGCAGCGUGUGGGAAGAAGGUCUUCGGAUUGUAAAGCACUUUAAGUUGGGAGGACGGGCAGUAAGUUAAUACCUGGCUGUGUUGACGUUACCAACAGAAUAAGCACCGGCUAACUUCGUG